Molecule: long non-coding RNA, 283 nt
Filed under: Scophthalmus maximus (turbot)
Lineage: Eukaryota; Metazoa; Chordata; Actinopteri; Pleuronectiformes; Scophthalmidae
Description: lncRNA (ENSSMAG00000027029.1)
Source: RNAcentral
AGGAACCAGGGGAGGUCAAUGAGCUGGUGGAAGAUUCAACUGGAACCACAGAGACGAGCGAGCUGGGCCUAGAGGCAUGGAAGAUCGGGGCCAUUUCUGCUGCAGUCUUCCUGGUUCUGGAGACUACCUUCAUCAUUAUCUAUAUCCUCAAAUGUCGCAACAAAAAAAAUACCGCAGCUACUCAGCGGUCAUGUGAGGAAGGGUGUGUUGAACCAGAGGCCGCCACAGGAGGCGACUGCAAUGACGACACGCUGCCUGCAGGCAACGGAGACACUCAACAGAU